AUGUUCACUGUUAUAUUCAUGUGUCUGUGGCUUUCACUGGGUGACUCCAUGGCAGAUUCAAUAAAGCCACUUUUCACUCAUAAAGUUGUAGAUGAAGGUGUUAAUGUUACUCUUUCCUGCGAAUAUGAAACAACUGCAACAAACAACUACCUGCAAUGGUACAGGAAAUAUCCAAAAUCUAAACCUGAGUUCCUUCUUUAUAUUUACCAAAGUGGAGAUCCAAAAUCCGAACCUCCCCCAAGAAUGUCUGCUAACGUUAAAGAUAAACGAGUGGAUCUGAUCAUCUCCUCUGCUGCUGUAUCAGACUCUGCUCUAUACUACUGUUUGCUCAUGUGA
Hemibagrus wyckioides is the source of this 336-nucleotide non-coding RNA. The record is from the annotation of a RefSeq genome assembly. Lineage: Eukaryota; Metazoa; Chordata; Actinopteri; Siluriformes; Bagridae.